AUUAGCGGCGGACGGGUGAGUAACACGUGAGUAACCUGCCUUAGACAUUGGGAUAGCCUCGGGAAACCGGGAUUAAUACCAAAUAAAAUCAUAAUGACACAUGUCAUAACGAUCAAAACUCCGGUGGUCUAAGAUGGACUCGCGUCCCAUUAGCUAGUUGGUAGAGUAAAAGCCUACCAAGGCGACGAUGGGUAGCCGGCCUGAGAGGGUGAACGGCCACAUUGGAACUGAGAAACGGUCCAA
RNAcentral lists this ribosomal RNA (243 nucleotides) under uncultured Eubacteriales bacterium. RNAcentral's name for it is "uncultured Clostridiales bacterium partial 16S ribosomal RNA". It matches the Rfam family "Bacterial small subunit ribosomal RNA", at positions 91 to 334 of the family's 1533-position model. The record is from RNAcentral. Lineage: Bacteria; Bacillati; Bacillota; Clostridia; Eubacteriales.